UCAGGUAUAGCUCAAUGGUAGAGUGCAUGCCUAGCAUGCACCAGGUCCUGGGUUCAAUCCCAAGUACCUCUA
RNAcentral lists this transfer RNA (72 nucleotides) under Camelus bactrianus (Bactrian camel). It matches the Rfam family "tRNA". From Rfam's summary of the family: Transfer RNA (tRNA) molecules are approximately 80 nucleotides in length. Their secondary structure includes four short double-helical elements and three loops (D, anti-codon, and T loops). Lineage: Eukaryota; Metazoa; Chordata; Mammalia; Artiodactyla; Camelidae. The record is from Rfam by way of RNAcentral. RNAcentral also lists the same sequence under 2 other names.